GGCUCUUAUUUUACUUGUUUGUAUGCUUAAAGAAAUAAAUUAUCAGUAUGAAAUACAGAUUCUCCUCUGGGGUUUCAUUGGGGUUAUGCUUUGUUAACCUUAUCAAAGAACAGAAAAAGUAUUUCUAUCAAUACAUGUAGUCUAUGACAAGUUUGGUAUGAACUCUAGUGUUAUAAGACAGAAAUGCCCAUAAUUUAUGGAUUGUUCAUUACUAAUGUGUUUGAUAGGAGUUUGGGUUGAAUGUAAUGUUUCUCUCCUCACAUCUCGAUUUCAUUUUUUCUGUAAGAAGGGAAAAAUGGAGAGAGGAAUUUGGGGGAGUGGGAGACAUAUCAAAAGGGGAGAUAUGUUAUCGUAUCGAAUAGUCCAACCCUUGGACUCUUUUCCCCAAUACUGUUCAAUCAUGUUACAACAAUAUGCACAGGCAUCAGAUGAUAACACAUAGUCUAAAUAAUGUUCUCUUAAAUUAAAAAGAAAACAUCUCGUUUUUGCUGACAGAGGUGGAAGGUCAAGUCAUCGGAGCUGAUAUAAAUACUCACAUGGGAAUUAUUAGACGGGCAGUCAAAAACAGAAGGAUAGACAGUCAAGGUGGUCAAAAGGAGAGCAUUAAAUGAUUAAGGAAAUUGAGUGAAUGCAUGGUAUAUAGGCUGAAAAACUUCAUCAUAGACUCCACAAUCUGUCUCUGCUGUUCCUUCUGCACUGUCCAGCUUUCCCACCCAUCCAUCUUCAAUCCUGUUCCUUUUGCUGAAGAAUUUCCAUGUAAAUGAUAAUACUAGCACUGAACUGUAUCAUUUUGCUCCAGAGAACCUGUAUCUGAGGACCUGAUUUGAUUUGGAACUGUUUGGGAUAAUCCUUGCUCCCAAGGUAUUUAAACUAAAAUGUCAGGUACCAUGUUGUAAAAUUGUAAUCAUUUUCUAAAAAAUUCUCUCUCUGUCUAUACAUCACCAAAAUCAAGCACUUUCUCAGUAAAACAUUUAUUAAACUUGCUAACGUUUUCAGCAACUUACAGUUGCCAUCUUGAGGCUUACAUCAAAAGAACAAUAGAAUAAAGAACACAAAUCACAUAAAAUUCAAAAUUCUG
RNAcentral lists this long non-coding RNA (1078 nucleotides) under Androctonus crassicauda. Lineage: Eukaryota; Metazoa; Arthropoda; Arachnida; Scorpiones; Buthidae. The record is from RNAcentral.